Molecule: ribosomal RNA, 253 nt
Filed under: uncultured bacterium
Lineage: Bacteria
Description: partial 16S ribosomal RNA
Rfam family: Bacterial small subunit ribosomal RNA
Source: RNAcentral
UACGGAGGGUGCAAGCGUUAUCCGGAUUCACUGGGUUUAAAGGGCGCGUAGGCGGCCUUCUAAGUCAGACGUGAAAUCCCCAGGCUUAACUUGGGAACUGCGUCUGAUACUGGGAGGCUUGAAUGCGGGAGAGGGAUGUGGAAUUCCAGGUGUAGCGGUGAAAUGCGUAGAUAUCUGGAGGAACACCGGUGGCGAAGGCGGCAUCCUGGACCGACAUUGACGCUGAGGCGCGAAGGCGUGGGGAGCAAACAGG